This 227-nucleotide ribosomal RNA is filed under the name Schizorchis sp. 1 KEG-2011. Its description in RNAcentral is "partial small subunit ribosomal RNA". Lineage: Eukaryota; Metazoa; Platyhelminthes; Cestoda; Cyclophyllidea; Anoplocephalidae. The record is from RNAcentral.
ACGUGUUUAACUAUGGCAGUAGAAAGCUACUCUGAGUUAGCUGCAUAAAAUAAUUUUAUUGUGUUCAUAAGAUUUUAUUUAUGCUUGGAUUAUUAGCAGCUAGUUUUUUAUUGGAACGGGUGUUUUUUAAGAAUAUUUGAGUAUUAAAGGGGAUAGGACACAGUGCCAGCAUCCGCGGUUAAUCUGUUUUCUUUGCUUUUUGGUAAACUGAUUUUGUGUAUUUAUGA